GUCUCUUCGGGGAUGAUUAAACCGGCGCACGGGUCCGUAACACGUGAGUGACCUGCCUUUUAGACUGGAACAACUUACCGAAAGGUGAGCUAAUGCCGGAUGAGUUAUAUAAGUGCAUGUUUAUAUAGGAAAAGUUGGGGAGACCUGACGCUGAAAGAUGGACUCGCGUCCCAUUAGCUAGUUGGUAGGGUAAUGGCCUACCAAGGCGACGAUGGGUAGCCGGCCUGAGAGGGUGGCCGGCCACACUGGGACUGAGACACGGCCCAGACUCCUACGGGAGGCAGCAGUGGGGAAUUUUGCGCAAUGCUCGUAAGAGUGACGCAGCGACGCCGCGUGAAUGACGAAGGCCUUCGGGUCGUAAAGUUCUUUCGACAGGGAAGAAAAUGCCUAUAAGUAACUGUGUAUGUAUUGACGGUACCUGUAUAAGCAGCCCCGGCUAACUCCGUGCCAGCAGCCGCGGUAAUACGGAGGGGGCGAGCGUUGUUCGGAGUGACUGGGCGUAAAGAGCACGUAGGCGGUGUUGUAAGUCAUUAGUCAAAGACUAGAGCUCAACUUUAGUAAGGCUAGUGAUACUAUAAUACUAGAGUAUCAGAGAGGAUUGCAGAAUUCCUGGUGUAGCGGUGAAAUGCGUAGAUAUCAGGAGGAAUACCGUUAGCGAAGGCGGCAAUCUGGCUGGAAACUGACGCUGAGGUGCGAAAGCGUGGGU
RNAcentral lists this ribosomal RNA (706 nucleotides) under uncultured bacterium. Its description in RNAcentral is "bacterial SSU rRNA". It matches the Rfam family "Bacterial small subunit ribosomal RNA", at positions 74 to 766 of the family's 1533-position model. The record is from RNAcentral.